Molecule: ribosomal RNA, 142 nt
Filed under: Rugosibacter sp.
Lineage: Bacteria; Pseudomonadati; Pseudomonadota; Betaproteobacteria; Nitrosomonadales; Sterolibacteriaceae
Description: partial 16S ribosomal RNA
Rfam family: Bacterial small subunit ribosomal RNA
Source: RNAcentral
AAACUGAAGAGUUUGAUCCUGGCUCAGAUUGAACGCUGGCGGAAUGCUUUACACAUGCAAGUCGAACGGCAGCACGGGGGCAACCCUGGUGGCGAGUGGCGAACGGGUGAGUAAUGUAUCGGAACGUACCCCGUCGUGGGGG